AUGGAAUAUUACCGUGAUUUAUAUCAAAAUGCCUCUGGAUCUGUAAAGAAGCGCUUCAUGCAUCCAGCAGCAGCAGCAUCACGGGCAAGGCCGAGGAGCAUCCCCGCCCGGCGGCGGCCACUGAUGCUCCAGCGCGGAUGCUCGGCCUUGUCCGUGAUGCUGCUCGCUGAUGGAGGAAGAAUAAACAACACGAAGCACGCAGUACCUGGCAGACGCUCCGCCAGACGGUGGGAUCGGUUCCACGCCAGCCCGAGAGAAAUGAAGGUGAAGAUGUUAGCCGUGUUGGCUCUGGUUCUUCUGGUGUCCAGUGCGAGUGAGGGACGAAUUCUCAGUAAAUGUGAGCUGAAGUCCCAACUCCAGGCUGCUCUGGGAGGAAAUCAGGGAGGAAAUGUGACUGGAGCUGUCACUAAUGGGCCUGGAAAUGUGACUACAAGUGUGCCUGUAGAUGCGACUGCAGUUGUGCCUGAAAAUGUGACUUCAAGUGUGCCUGGGAAUGUAACUGUGCCUGGAAAUGCAACUGCAAAUUUGACCCUCAUCGCCCAAAUCGUUUGUACUGUGGAGCGUGUGUCGAAGUUCAACACUGGCCUGGUCACCACCAUCCGAGAGGACUCCAGACCUCCAGUGAGACCCCCAGUGAGACCCCCUCUCAGACCACCACAACAACCCAAUGUAAGACCAGGGGGAAGACCCGGUCGUCCCGGUGGAAGACCAAGGGGAAAGAGAUCCCACGUUGCAGCACAACUCGGGCGCCCAGCUAGACUGUCUGAUGACAGUUCCGAGAGUUCCGAGAGUUCCGAGGAGAAUUCCAGAGAAAGACCUGGUCUGACCACAAAACUGUUAGGAAUCUUCCAGCUGAGCGACCGCGUGGCCUGUGAUUCCGGAUCUGGCCAGAGUUUGAACAUCUGCCGCAUGAAAUGCAGCGCUCUGAUUGAUGAUGACAUCAGGGAUGACAUCGCAUGCCUUAAGACCCUGCUGGACAUCGCAAGCAUUGUUUCAUCCUUCGCUUCUCUGCCCCAGAAUAAGCCACGCUUUAUUCUUUCUUUGAAUGAGUGCCGCAACGUCAAUCCUGCGCAGUACUUCGCUGAGUGUCGCUGAAACAUUCAGCAUUUCUUCAGCGUACCUGGAAAAUGUUCUCAGUUAUGAUAGCCACAGUUAUGAAGCAUGUAUCUCAUACAUGCAUACGUCAGAAUGCAAAUAAAAAAUAUAUAUAAAAAAUACA
Molecule: long non-coding RNA, 1219 nt
Organism: Cyprinus carpio (common carp)
Lineage: Eukaryota; Metazoa; Chordata; Actinopteri; Cypriniformes; Cyprinidae
Source: Ensembl